Molecule: ribosomal RNA, 492 nt
Filed under: uncultured bacterium
Lineage: Bacteria
Description: partial 16S ribosomal RNA
Rfam family: Bacterial small subunit ribosomal RNA
Source: RNAcentral
AGUGAACGCUGGCGGUAGGCCUAACACACGCAAGUCGAACGGCAGCACAGUAAGAGCUUGCUCUUACGGGUGGCGAGUGGCGGACGGGUGAGGAAUACAUCGGAAUCUACUUUUUCGUGGGGGAUAACGUAGGGAAACUUACGCUAAUACCGCAUACGACCUACGGGUGAAAGCAGGGGAUCUUCGGACCUUGCGCGAUUGAAUGAGCCGAUGUCGGAUUAGCUAGUUGGCGGGGUAAAGGCCCACCAAGGCGACGAUCCGUAGCUGGUCUGAGAGGAUGAUCAGCCACACUGGAACUGAGACACGGUCCAGACUCCUACGGGAGGCAGCAGUGGGGAAUAUUGGACAAUGGGCGCAAGCCUGAUCCAGCUAUACCGCGUGGGUGAAGAAGGCCUUCGGGUUGUAAAGCCCUUUUGUUGGGAAAGAAAAGCAGCAGGUUAAUACCCCGCUGUUCUGACGGUACCCAAAGAAUAAGCACCGGCUAACUUCGUG